Molecule: microRNA precursor, 60 nt
Filed under: Sarcophilus harrisii (Tasmanian devil)
Lineage: Eukaryota; Metazoa; Chordata; Mammalia; Dasyuromorphia; Dasyuridae
Description: Sha-Mir-430-o20_pre stem-loop
Source: RNAcentral
ACCCUAACUUGGGGCAUUUAUUGGGUCUUUGUGACAAAUAGGUGCUCUCUGUUGGGAUGA